AAAGAUUAAGCCAUGCAUGUCUCAGUAUGAACUAUCUAUUGUGAAACCGCGAAUGGCUCAUUACAACAGCCAUAGUUUACUGGAUAUAUUCCAUUACAUGGAUAACUGUGGUAAUUCUACAGCUAAUACACGCAUCAAAACCCUGACUUCGGAAAGGGUGCGUUAGUUACUUCAAACUGACUAGACUUCGGUCUGGCUCCAAGUGAAAUUGAACUAUUUAGCUGAUCGCACGGUCUAAGCACCGGCGACAUAUCCUUCAAAUGUCUGCCUUAUCAACUGUCGAUGGUAGAUUAUGCGCCUACCAUGGUUGUAACGGGUAACGGAGAAUCAGGAUUUGAUUCCGGAGAGGGAGCCUGAGAAAUGGCUACCACAUCCAAGGAAGGCAGCAGGCACGCAAAUUACCCACUCCCGGCACGGGGAGGUAGUGACGAAAAAUAACAAGCUGGUCUCUUUGAGUUCCGGCAUUGUAAUGGGAACAACUUAAAUCAUUUAUCGAGGAUCUAUUGGAGGGCAAGUCUGGUGCCAGCAGCCGCGGUAAUUCCAGCUCCAAUAGCGUAUAUUAAAGUUGUUGCGGUUAAAAAGCUCGUAGUUGGAUCUACGAUCAAGGCUUGUGGUCGUCCUUCUCGGAUGUACUGCUUAGUCUGGUCGAAUUAUCUGGUGAACGAUUGAUGCUCUUCACUGAGUGUCUCUAGUUGCUGGAACGUUUACCUUGAAAAAAUUGAAGCGCUCAAAGCAGGCGUAUGCCCGAACAUUGCUGCAUGGGAUAAUUGAAUAGGACUUCGGUUCUAUUUUGUUGGUUUCGGAACGCGGAGUAAUGAUUAAUAGGGACAGACGGGGGCAUUCGUAUUGCUGCGUUAGAGGUGAAAUUCUUGGAUCGUAGCAAGACGACCUACUGCGAAAGCAUUUGCCAAGAAUGUUUUCAUUAAUCAAGAACGAAAGUUAGAGGUUCGAAGGCGAUCAGAUACCGCCCUAGUUCUAACCGUAAACGAUGUUAACUAGCGACUCGCAGGUGUUACUUUAACGGCCCUGCGAGGAGCUCCCGGGAAACCUAAGUGUUCGAAUUCCGGGGGAAGUAUGGUUGCAAAGCUGAAACUUAAAGGAAUUGACGGAAGGGCACCACCAGGAGUGGAGCUUGCGGCUUAAUUUGACUCAACGCGGGGAAACUCACUUGGUCAGGACACUGUAAGGAUUGACAGAUUGAAAGCUCUUUCUUGAUUCCGUGGAUGGUGGUGCAUGGCCGUUCUUAGUUGGUGGAGUGAUUUGUCUGGUUAAUUCCGAUAACGAGCGAGA
Molecule: ribosomal RNA, 1290 nt
Filed under: Nematoda environmental sample
Lineage: Eukaryota; Metazoa; Nematoda
Description: SSU rRNA
Rfam family: Eukaryotic small subunit ribosomal RNA
Source: RNAcentral